This 1105-nucleotide long non-coding RNA is filed under the name Terrapene triunguis (Three-toed box turtle). RNAcentral describes it as "Terrapene carolina triunguis (Three-toed box turtle) lncRNA (ENSTMTG00000010779.1)". The record is from RNAcentral. Lineage: Eukaryota; Metazoa; Chordata; Testudines; Emydidae.
AUGAUCAGGACAGCAUUUCAAGUGAGAGGGCUGGAGCGCACUCCUGGAAAAAGGAUCACUUUGCUGAGAGUAAAGUUGGUCAAACAUUCAGUGAAGCAAUCAGCCCUCUGCCUGCCUGAGAGGGAGCAAAAUUGGUUUGAAUGGACAGUUGAGGAACCAGAAAGUGUGAAGAUGUCAGAUUGUGUAUCUAGCGACUCCUAAGUUUUUCCCACAGAAGACAGUGCCCUUGCUUCUGAGGUGUUUGGGCAUAGCCAUGGAGGGGCCAGAGUCAAUCCUGCAGCAGUGGGUGUGUCAAGCUGGAGGGAAGCAGUCUCUCUGCCACCCCAUUGCCACAAUAAGGUGACAUGACUUCUGGAUGAAGAGUCCUACAAAUUUGUGCAGAAAAGAUUAAGUUCAGAAUGUCUUGUAGAAGCAUGUGACAAGUGGGGCAACACUGAUACACACUUUGGUCUCUUCUUAAAUAUCCAAUUAAGAAACUAGACUUGCUCUGAACUUAAACUUUUGCCAUGUGUGUCUUUUAACCAGCACUAAGUAGACUUUAGAAGUAAAAUAACAGCUGUCUAACAAAUUGAAAUGUGCUAAAAUAAACUCAUCAAAAAUGACUAGUCUGGAGUAGUUGUGUAUUAUGUAUGAGUUCAAAGUCUCAGGGUAUGUCUAUACUAUGAAAUCAGGUUGAUUUUUAUAGAAGUCAAUUUUUAGAAAUCAGUUUUAUACAGGCGAUUAUAUAUGUCCACACCAAGUGCAUUAAGUUGGUGGAGUGCAUCCUCAGUACUGUGGCUAGCAUUGAUUUAUGGAGCAGUGCACUGUGGGUAGCUAUCCCACAGUUCCUGCAGUCUCUGCUGCCCAUUGGAAUUCUGGGUUAAGCUCCCAAUGCCUAAUGGGGCAAAAACAUUGCUGUGGGUGGUUUUGGGUACAUGUCAUCUGUCAACCCACCCUCUGUGAAAGCACUGGCAGACCAUCAUUUUGCGCCUGACACCAGGGAGGCUUUGAAAACCAGUUUCAUGACUGUCCAGGCUUUGGUGUGACAGUUGUUUCUCCUUGAUGCAAACCCACCCCCUUUGUUGAUUUUAAUUCCCUGUAAGCCAACCACCCUCCCCCCAGCCCC